This 497-nucleotide ribosomal RNA is filed under the name uncultured bacterium. RNAcentral's name for it is "partial 16S ribosomal RNA". It matches the Rfam family "Bacterial small subunit ribosomal RNA", at positions 28 to 507 of the family's 1533-position model. The record is from RNAcentral.
GAUGAACGCUGGCGGCGUGCCUAAUACAUGCAAGUCGAGCGAACGGACGAGAAGCUUGCUUCUCUGAUGUUAGCGGCGGACGGGUGAGUAACACGUGGAUCACCUACCUAUAAGACUGGGAUAACUUCGGGAAACCGGAGCUAAUACCGGAUGAUAUUUUGAUCCGCAUGGUUCAAAAGUGAAAGACGGUCUUGCUGUCACUUCUAGAUGGAUCCGCGCUGCAUUAGCUAGUUGGUAAGGUAACGGCUUACCAAGGCAACGAUGCAUAGCCGACCUGAGAGGGUGAUCGGCCACACUGGAACUGAGACACGGUCCAGACUCCGACGGGAGGCAGCAGUAGGGAAUCUUCCGCAAUGGGCGAAAGCCUGACGGAGCAACGCCGCGUGAGUGAUGAAGGUCUUCGGAUCGGAAAACUCUGUUAGUAGGGAAGAACAUAUGUGUAAGUAACUGUGCACAUCUUGACGGUACCUAAUCAGAAAGCCGCGGCUAACUACGUG